GUACAUUGUACUGAGGACCAUUUUUAGAAGAUUCUGUGACCUUUGUAAAUAAUUGCUCUUCAUUACUGAAAAGCCAGGUGUGUACAGGUGACAAAGUGAAUCAUCAGGACAACCUGCAGCAGAUGAAGCAGCAGUCAAUUCAGUGUGCUUUUCCCUUUUUUACUGUGUCAAUACAAAACUCUCUGUUGUUUGUGAUCUCUCUUGUCGUCAUAGCUUCAAGCAUGGUAGGUGCCGUUCCUGCUUACUGUAAACUGGCACAGCUGAGAAACCAAAGCUGCUGUCACUUAAUCCAUAGUGUAUAUAUAUACAUGUAUACGUACAAAGUGCCAGAUUCUAAGGGAAGGGUUUAUGUUAAGGAUCCUCUAAAAUGCAGUUUCAGAAUGACUUGUCUUUCAUGUCUCUCUUAAUUGUGAACUUUUGCAAAUUAUGUACUGCUUCAUCUUUAAAGUUUUGUUUCCUUGAAGCAUUAGCAUUUUAGAUAUUAAACAUGGAGCUCUCUUUAUGCAGCCAUUGCAGUAUGUGCUCAUAUCUUAUUUUGAGCAGUAAGCAGUCGAUUUUAAUUCUUCUCCUUUCCUCACAGCAGUACAAAAUGCAGGUCUACAUUUAUGCUGCUAAUACAAUGCAGUGGGUUGACCUUGGCCAGACACCAGGUGCCCACCAAGCCGCUCUAUCAUUCCCCUCCUCAGCAGGGAGAAAAUAAGAUGGGGAGAAAAAAGCCUUGUGGGUCAAGAUAAAGGCAGUUUAAUAAAGCAAAAGCAAAGGUAGCAUGUGGAAGCAAAGGCAAACAAAAGAAUUAUUCUCUACUUCCCACCAGCAGGCAAUGUGUAGCCACUUCCCAGGAAGCAGGGCUUCAGUACCCGCAGCAGUUGCUCCGAAAGACAAAAGUGAAAGAAGAACGUGGAUGAGGAGAGAUUCUGUAUUGUCAAAAUCAGGUUUUCUGCAGACUUUUAUUUGAGAACCAUUUCUGACUAAUGCAAAGCUGGCUGCCAGAGUUUUAGUACCCGCUGACCUGCUACAAAACUAAGUUACCUUAUGGAGCAUGAGCAGCUAAAGAGAGUCAACAGCUCUGAUGGUAACUCUGUCAUUAACUCUUCCGGGCCGGAUGACUGAGCAAUGCUGCUGCAUCCAACGCUGAACGCACCAGUCCCAGAACCGAGCUCCACCGCUGCAAACCCCCCGCGCCAGCCGUGGCCCUGCUCCGAAUGGAAAGCCAGGCGAAGACAGUGGAAAUAGAAAGAAAAUGAGGGUACAAAGGGAUCCAGAAUUAUUUAAACCUGGAACCCAACAUCCAUCCUGUCCCUGAGCAGCGAUCCUGCCUCCUUGGCUGGCUCCCCCUGUUACAUAUUGAGCAUGGCAUUGUAUGGUAUGGAAUUUCCCUUUGGCUAGUUUGGGUCGGCUGUCCUGGCUGUGUCCCCUUCCAACUUCUUGGGAAAAUUAACUACCCCAGCUGAAACCAGGACGCAGUCAUUCCUAUUGCACUGGAGCUGCAAACCUCCCGUUGGAUGGGAUGUGACUGACAGCAUCAGAUCCAGAGGAGACACCGGAGAGAAACAGCUUGUUCUUCAUUACUGUCCUUCCACAAUGUAACAGCCUACGGAUGCAUCUCAAAGUAAUCCAUUUCUGAGAAAUUGCUGGAAAUGCUGUUGUUUCUGGAUGUGGAUGUCCUGGUGCAGCCUGCUCACCCUCACGCUGGCCCUUUGGAGCUGGGGUGGACUCAGGUGCUGCUCUCGUUUCUUCCGAUCCAUUUCAAAUUACAGCGGCUUAAGUUUCUGCUCACUGCGCAGCUUCUUGCUCAUUAUUGAGUCGCCCAGAGUCUCCAGUCCCACACGUCCUUUGAGAGAGACAGCUCAGGGAUGACAAGCCCGUGAAAAUGAAAUGGCUGUUUUCUCUUUCGGCAGGAUUUCCAGUCAGCGCAGGUCUGCGGGCUGGAUGGGCACCGCCAGCUCUGCAACCAAAGGGCUGCUCGUCCUCCUCGGGAAGGAGAGUUGCCGUCCCUGCAGCCCCUGUCCUGGUAUCGGAGCCCUGUGGCCGCGUCUAGGUGAGGGUCACCUUGUGCGAGACUUCAGAUAUUUCCAAGAGGUGUGGAGGCAAACUGCUUCGCCCUCUCAGAGGUGGGAGUGUAAGGGAAAAAGGGAACAGCAGGCUUUGGCUGGGAAGUGAGGCCUCAUACAUUGUGCUCUUACACCUGGUGCGCGUGGGCAAAUGGUGCUGAAAAGGGGGCAUUUUGACUUGUGUGUUUCUAUCCGUUUCAAUCAAUGAGUGCACGUAUAGGGGAAGGAGCAGCAAUUAAUAUAGCACGUGCUUUGCCCCAAAGUGAUAUUAACUUGCAGUAACGUCACUUUAGCAAAAAGAGCAAUCAAGUCAUAAUAGGCAAUCAGGGAGAGCUGAACGUGGGAACGCUGUCCACGGUGAACGAACCGCCGUUUGAGCUCCUCGCUACAAGCCUCAGACUCCCUUUAGGCUCAGGGCUGGGGCUGUGCAGUUACAAGCGCAGCACAGCUUUCCUGGAGCAGUGUUAGCCCUGAUGAGCACCUGUG
Molecule: long non-coding RNA, 2537 nt
Organism: Grus americana (Whooping crane)
Lineage: Eukaryota; Metazoa; Chordata; Aves; Gruiformes; Gruidae
Exons: 7
Source: RefSeq, a predicted model, not a curated record